UAAUAGCCCUGAUAGAAGUGGAAAUCCUUUUGCUUUUUUCUUUAAAAAGCAAAAGAUUGAAACGGAUAGCAGGAAUAGCU
RNAcentral lists this small RNA (80 nucleotides) under Flavobacterium frigidimaris. RNAcentral describes it as "Flavo-1 RNA". It matches the Rfam family "Flavo-1 RNA". Lineage: Bacteria; Pseudomonadati; Bacteroidota; Flavobacteriia; Flavobacteriales; Flavobacteriaceae. The record is from RNAcentral.